UUAAGUUCAGCGGGUAUCCCUACCUGAUCCGAGGUCAACCUUUGAAAAUGGGUGUUUUGACGGCCGGACGCCCCCCGGUCUCGCAAGCGGACGGAUGACCACAACGCUUAGAGACGGACGGCUCAGCCGGAAACAUUGAGGCGCGCGGACGGGCCGCGGCGCCCAAUACCAAGCCAGGCUUGAGUGGUGAAAUGACGCUC
Molecule: unclassified non-coding RNA, 200 nt
Filed under: Mycosphaerellaceae sp.
Lineage: Eukaryota; Fungi; Ascomycota; Dothideomycetes; Mycosphaerellales; Mycosphaerellaceae
Description: partial internal transcribed spacer 2
Source: RNAcentral